Molecule: ribosomal RNA, 253 nt
Filed under: uncultured bacterium
Lineage: Bacteria
Description: partial 16S ribosomal RNA
Rfam family: Bacterial small subunit ribosomal RNA
Source: RNAcentral
UACGGAGGGUGCAAGCGUUAUUCGGAAUUACUGGGCGUAAAGCGCGUGUAGGCGGGAAGGUAAGUCUGAUGUGAAAGCCCUGAGCUCAACCUGGGAAGUGCAUUGGAUACUGCUUUUCUUGAGUUCUGGAGAGGAUAGGGGAAUUCCCGGUGUAGAGGUGAAAUUCGUAGAGAUCGGGAGGAAUAUCAGUGGCGAAGGCGCCCAUCUGAACGGCAACUGACGCUGAGACGCGAAAGCGUGGGGAGCAAACAGG